UGGAGCUGGACAGCCGGAGGUCCAGUGCCAGCCUCCCCGACCCCUCCUCCACCUUGGCUCUGUCCGCUUGGUUCUGGCUCCUCCCCGAUCCGUCGGUCGGGCUCACGAUGUCGACAGCCAUGAUGACCUCUGAACUCUGCAUCUCUCCCCCGCUGCUCUCUCCUUCCUCCUCUUCCUCCUCCUCCUCUUCUUCCUCUUCGUCACGCUCCUCCUUACGCUCCGGUUGUUCUCCCCCUCCUUCCUUCUCUUUGCGCUCGUCCUCCUCUUCUUCUUUGAUCUCCUCCCAGAAAUGAGCCGUCUCGCCCUCGAUGAUUGGCUGGAGGGUCUGAGUUCGCCUCUUACUGGAGGGGGACACCUGAGGGGGAGAGAGGGGAGGUUAAAGCACACACAGGACUUCAUUCUUUAGAAGCAGAGUUUCUUAUAGUACAAGCCUCCUGAAAACAUUGUCCACAGAAGUGAACUUUAAAGCCUUCAGGAAUGAGACAACUGUUCAGGAAGUUUUACCUAAAAGGAGCGAUCGUAAAGAGGCUUCACCACCAGACGCUCCUCUCUCGUCACCUGAGAGACAAAAAAAUGAAGAGAGGGAAAACGCCAGCCAUCCUCCUGCCUCUUCCCUUUGACUCUGCGCUGGAUCAGCUCCAGUGUUUCCUCCCUGGUGGGACUCUGACCCUUGACCUCCCCUGUUGCAUCGCACGCACUCUGGUCCAGCGUAGAACCGAAGCUCUUGGAUGUUGAAGCUUCUUCGUGAGUUGGUGGGUCACCGAAUCUCCUCCUCUCAUCGCCUCUUUGGAUCCAAAUGAUGCGCGCCGCGGCCUGAGUUAAGAGCGGAAAGUGAAGAAUGAAAGAGAUGCCAAAAAAUAUCCCACAUGAUCUCACAUUUAUUCUUGAAUCAGUGAAUAAAUGAUAGAAUUAUACAACA
Molecule: long non-coding RNA, 919 nt
Organism: Notolabrus celidotus (New Zealand spotty)
Lineage: Eukaryota; Metazoa; Chordata; Actinopteri; Labriformes; Labridae
Exons: 5
Source: RefSeq, a predicted model, not a curated record